AUGGAAUGCCUCAUAGUAUUACUCAGCUCUUCUUCCGAAGCUAAACACCAGAUGUCUCUUCACGUGUGUCAGCGUGUAUUAAAACCACCGUCUGGGCCACAGGCACAAUCACAGGCUGGGCAGCAACAGGUGGCUCCCAGACCUGGGCCUCUGUGUGCCAGGUGCCAUCCACACCAUUCCCGACCCUCACUGAGGGCUUGCAUGACAGCCUGGCCAGCAGGAAGUCCCCAUGUUGGGCAUGCCACCCACCACUGUCCUGAAGCCUCUGCAGCCCAGAAGAUGGCAAGGUGAGCACCUGUCCUGAAGGGGACACCGGUCAUGGCCCAGAGGGGCCUUGUGAGCACAGGCAGCAGAUGACCCUUGGAAGACACACGGUUCUCUGCAGAUCUGACCUCAUUUCUUUUUUUUUAGGUUUUUGUGUUUUUUUGUUUUGUUUUUCUUUUGGUACCGGGAAUUGAACUCAAGACCUUGCACUUGCCAGGCAGGUGCUUGUGUCACUGAGGUAUAUCCCUGGCCCGGACCUCAUUUCUUAAGUUGGGAAGUGACUGCUCAUGAUUAAACUACUGAAAAUCCUGCCAACCAUGACCCUCGCCAACUCCAGGGUUCCUGGCAGGGUUUUCU
RNAcentral lists this long non-coding RNA (621 nucleotides) under Chinchilla lanigera (long-tailed chinchilla). RNAcentral's name for it is "lncRNA (ENSCLAG00000026641.1)". Lineage: Eukaryota; Metazoa; Chordata; Mammalia; Rodentia; Chinchillidae. The record is from RNAcentral.